AUCAACGGAAAGCUUUUGGCUAGGGUUUGGUUAGGGUUUGGACUUCCCGCUUUCUUGUUCUUUUGAUGGGGUUUAGAACCCUUUUUCUUCUGUUUCUCUUGGAGAUAAUGAGGUUCUUUUUUGAUGGAAGACUGAUAAGCAGCUGAGGGUUUUCAGUUUACGCAGAUGGAGGCAGUGAGUUUGAGGCAGCAAAUGCAUAACUUGUAGAAUUAUGAAUGGGAAAAGUGAUGGUACCGAUGACUUUCUUGCAAGUUAUGCAGUUGCUGCCUCAAGCUUGCUGCCUCCCUCUGCCAAAACUAGUGUGGACAAAAUAACCCAUGUCAAUGCAUUAUGGUUUCAGGUGAAAAGCUGAGGCUGGAGAAAGAGCAAGAGUUCUUGUGAUCUAUGUGAUAUAUAUGUAUAUAUAUAGUUCUUGUCUGCUGUCUUGUUGUAAUUUAUAGUGAAAGUUCUGUUGUAAUCUAUUGUAAAGAAAAUCAAGUGUAGAUUGACUUUGAAUAUUCUUGCAAG
This 507-nucleotide microRNA precursor is filed under the name Dioscorea bulbifera (air-potato). RNAcentral's name for it is "partial MIR444 transcript variant 1a_1". The record is from RNAcentral. Lineage: Eukaryota; Viridiplantae; Streptophyta; Magnoliopsida; Dioscoreales; Dioscoreaceae.